Molecule: ribosomal RNA, 1329 nt
Filed under: uncultured Gammaproteobacteria bacterium
Lineage: Bacteria; Pseudomonadati; Pseudomonadota; Gammaproteobacteria
Description: partial 16S ribosomal RNA
Rfam family: Bacterial small subunit ribosomal RNA
Source: RNAcentral
AUUAACGCUGGCGGCAUACAUUAGGCAUGCAAGUCGAACGGUCCGACGCAAGUCGGAUAGUGGCAGACGGGUGAGUAAUAGGUAGGAAUCUACCUCUUGGUGGGGAAUAAUCUGGGGAAACUCAGACUAAUACCGCAUAUUUCUGUAAGGAAAAAGGAAUUAACUUUUCGCCAAGAGAUGAGCCUGCUUGCUAUCAGCUAGUUGGUAAGGUAAAGGCUUACCAAGGCUAUGACGGCUAGGGGGUGUGAGAGCAUGGCCCCCCACAAGGUUACUGAGACACGGAACCUACAUCUACGGAUGGCAGCAACCAGGAAUUUUGCGCAAUGGACGAAAGUCUGACGCAGUGAUGCCGCGUGCGGGAUGAAGGCCUUAGGGUCGUAAACCGCUGUGGUAGGGGAAAAAGAUCUGAUGGUACCCUAUUAGAAAGGACCUGCUAACUACGUGCCAGAAGCCUCGGUAAUGCGUAGGGUCCAAGCGUUGUCCGGAAUUAUUGGGCGUAAAGCGUGCGUAGGCGGUUUGUUAAGUGGUAGGUGAAAGCUUCCGACUCAAUUGGGAGACUGCCUAUCAAACUGACAGACUAGAGGAAGUUUGGGGAUGCUGGAAUUGAUGGUGAAGGAGUGAAAUCCGUUGAUAUCAUCAAGAACACCCAAUGGCGAAAGGCAGGCAUCUGGGACUUAUCUGACGCUGAGGUACGAAAGCUAGAGUAGCGAAAGGGAUUAGAGACCCCUGUAGUUCUAGCCGUAAAUGAUGGACACUAGCUGAUGGGUUUUCUCAUUGGCGUAAGCUAACGCGUUAAGUGUCCCGCCUGGGGAGUACGGUCGCAAGGUUAAAACUCAAAGGAAUUGACGGGGACCCGCACAAGCGGUGGAGCAUGUGGUUUAAUUCGAUGCAACGCGAAGAACCUUACCUGGUCUUGACAUACACGGAACUUUCCAGAGAUGGAUUGGUGCCUUCGGGAACCGUGAUACAGGUGCUGCAUGGCUGUCGUCAGCUCGUGUCGUGAGAUGUUGGGUUAAGUCCCGUAACGAGCGCAACCCCUAUCCUUAUUUGCCAGCACAUCAUGGUGGGAACUAUAAGGAGACUGCCGGUGAUAAACCGGAGGAAGGCGGGGACGACGUCAAGUCAUCAUGGCCCUUACGACCAGGGCUACACACGUGCUACAAUGGGAAGGACAAAGGGUUGCUAAGCCGCGAGGUGGUGCUAAUCUCAUAAACCUUUUCGUAGUCCGGAUCGGAGUCUGCAACUCGACUCCGUGAAGUCGGAAUCGCUAGUAAUCGUGGAUCAGAAUGCCACGGUGAAUACGUUCCCGGGUCUUGUACACACCGCCCG